UAUUCUCUCUCAUUCCCUGAUGGUUAGAAAAGUGUUCCUGACGUGAGACAGUCGGAAAGGGCAGGUGUGAAGGGGAGAAGUCAAACAGUGAGGAAGAUUUGAGAAUCGGGAAAUGUCGAUGGGAGAUGGAGGAAGAGACAUCACCUAAGUUUGCACUUUAUCCCGUUGUGAUGCGGUUUGAACGGCAUCGUCUGGAUGAAAGAUCUGUUUCAGACCAGGAGAUUUUAUCAAAAUUAUACAUCAAUAUGGGCACACAUUACAUCAACAAGAUGUGACAACAAGAACGGGAGAGAGGGGAGAGAGAGAGAGCAAAAACAAAUGGAUGGCGGGCAUCACUGUAUCGUGGCUGACAAAAGUUUAUAGUUGGGUGCUUAAAUCCAAGGAUAAAUAUUGAAUCAAAUGGAUACACAGGUAGGUGAAAGUGUUGGGUCGAAGCUGCUGUCAUUAAAAAUGAAAAGUCCUGAGAAAGAGGUGAUGUCGGAUUAGACGAUGUGGAUGUUAAGAAACUGCGUAGGUAAAAUGACCCUGAUGGAAAUUAUAUACAGGCAUGGUAACAGUAGCCAGGAUAUGGGCUACAAAUUACAACGGGGGAGAGAAGAGCAUGGAAAAUGGUCAAUGCUAAAAUUUUCACAGGGAAUUUCAAUAUUCAGGUAGAUUUUGGAAAAUCAGGUCGGUGCUGAAUCCCAAGUGUGGAAAUUUAUAGAAUGCCUAUGAGAUGGCUUUUGAGAGAAGCCUAUGGUUGAGCCCACCACAGGAAAGGCAGAUCUGGAUUCUCUGUUGUGAAUUGAACCAGAUUUGAUCAGGGAGCUUCAGCUAAAUAAACCCUUCAGAGGCAGUGAUCAUAAAAUAGCAAAACUCAGCCAGCAGGUUGAAAGGGAGAAGGUGAAGUUAGAGGUAUCAGUGCUAUAGUAGAAUAAAGGAAAUACUUCGGCAUGAGAGAGGAGCUGGGCAAUAAUAAAUUUGAAAAUGACACUAAUGGGGACAAUGGCAGAGCAGGAAUGGCUGAGGUUUCUCGGAGCAAUUCAGAAGCUGCAGGACAAAUGAUCACAAAAAUGAAGAAUUAUUCUAAAGAGAGGAUGAUCAACCGUGGCUGACGAGGUAGUCAAAGCAGCACAAAAGCAAAGGUGAGGGCACAGAGUAUUACAAAAUAUAGCAGAAAGCUGGAGGACUGGGAUGGUUUUACAAAUCAACAGAAGGCAAUUCAAAAACUGUAAGUAGAGAAAAUAUGAAAUAGGAAGGCAGGCUAGAGAAUGAUGUAAAAUAGCUUACCAAAAUGUACGUCUGAUAUAUGAAGAUUGAAAGAGAGGAUAGUGGAUAUUUGACCACUGGAAAAAUUGGACCACUG
Molecule: long non-coding RNA, 1345 nt
Organism: Hypanus sabinus (Atlantic stingray)
Lineage: Eukaryota; Metazoa; Chordata; Chondrichthyes; Myliobatiformes; Dasyatidae
Exons: 4
Source: RefSeq, a predicted model, not a curated record